AACCUUUAUUUUAAGCAAAGUAGAUUGGGCGAGCUUACCUUCAGAGUAAGGGAUUCCAGAGCCUUCAUGCCCUCAUCAAAACCAAGGUCCUUCCUGUACUUGUCCACGAUGCUUGACACCAGAGGACACCAGUCAGGCUCCUGGUUUUGGAAAGAGGGCAUAGGUCGUAUAUCAUCCUCGAGGUCAACAACCUCGGGAGUACUCCUUGCCCGAGGAUGUGACCGAGGUGGACCGGUAGGAGUCUCCGUGGCCUGUGUGGUCGGGGUAGGUCCUCGGGCAGAAGUUUCACCAAGGCCACUCCUGAUAUUCUCCGUUUCCCGAGCUCUCUUCUUUCCCCUCUUCUGCCCUGGAACUCGGGUCUGAGGGGCCUUUGACUUCUUGGUCACGGCCUGCCUAAGGGCUGAAGGAUCAAAAGUCAUCUCUGCAAAAAAAGAACAAGUCAUUAGAACGAGCACAAUUAUAAGUUCAAGGAUAGAUCAGUAAAGAGGAAGGUAAAAAGGUCCUACCCUCAGUGCCUUUCACAUCCGCGAGAUCGAGAACGUCAUCCCCGAGGAUGUCAUCUAUAUCAUAUACAAGAGGCUCGAGGUUCUCUAACAUUACCCUAUGCCUCUCUAAAGAUUCAAAAUAGGCCUGGCCUUCACAAAAUCGAGGAGUGUCGGGCAAAACCCACCUAGGGCUAAAAGGAAGGUCGCUAUCCUGAGGUAUAACAUAAAACCACUUUUCUUUCCAACCUUUUAAAGAGCUAGGCAUCCUCGGUAAUCUAAAUCCUCCUCGGGAUGAAAGGUAAGCAAAGCAAGUAUAUUGAGGAAGCUGUUUCAGGUCGAACACCAUCCUACAGAGAUCGACGUAUGGGUUAAUUCCUAGGUAUCUACAGGCUAUAAAAAAAUAGAUAAGCAUCCUCCACCCAUUUGGCACGAGCUGUCCAGGGCUCAUAUUAUGCUCGACCAAUAAGGCCACAAAAAAGGGAUGCAGAGGCCAUCGAAAUCCCCCCUUUAGUGAGUCCCUAAAAAUCACAAACUCUCCUUCCCGAGGAAAGGCCAUCCUAUCCUCUACCCCUGGUGUCCUAACGUCGCAUUUGGGCAUGAGCCCAUGCUCCCUAGCCGUCGAUAUUGCUAGAUGUUCUUUAAAUUUACA
This 1134-nucleotide long non-coding RNA is filed under the name Olea europaea subsp. europaea. Lineage: Eukaryota; Viridiplantae; Streptophyta; Magnoliopsida; Lamiales; Oleaceae. The record is from RNAcentral.